GGGAGGUAUGAACUCUCCGCCAUUUUGUCCCAUUUCGGGGACACAUGUGACAGUGGCCACUAUGUGGCAGACCUCUUGGAGGCGGGGGGCCAGACCUGGGCCAAUUAUGACGAUGAAGAGGUGACCCCAGUCACUAAGGAGGCUGUCUUGGAGGGCAGGGCCAAGACAGCCUACAUGCUUUUCUAUGAACGCAAGUGACUGGGGUCCUGACACCUCAAGGUCUGGCCCCCCAACAUGACCACCAGCAACACCAUCACCUCCAUCAUAGUCCACCAGUCACAGC
Engraulis encrasicolus (European anchovy) is the source of this 283-nucleotide long non-coding RNA. RefSeq lists it as uncharacterized. The transcript is spliced from 3 exons. NCBI's taxonomy places the organism in Eukaryota, Metazoa, Chordata, Actinopteri, Clupeiformes, Engraulidae. The record is from RefSeq and is a predicted model, not a curated record.